RNAcentral lists this unclassified non-coding RNA (4482 nucleotides) under Leishmania donovani. RNAcentral describes it as "gene:LdHU3.30.4230(CDS-product:valyl-tRNA_synthet ase_putative)". Lineage: Eukaryota; Euglenozoa; Kinetoplastea; Trypanosomatida; Trypanosomatidae. The record is from RNAcentral.
CGUGCGCGCCUGCUUUGCAGUGGGCACGGAAAGCAUCUGUUUCUCUCUUCACUCUUGCGUUCUGGCGCGUGCGGACAGGCGAGUGUGAAGGCAAUAAAGUAGACUUGCUCGUCGUCUCUUCUUCUACUGUAAGCCCCGACCACCAUCGCCUGCAGCUCAUAUCUCACCCCCCCACCUCCCUCACACAAAAACACACAAACACUACCCACCCUUUAGCGCCGUGCCCAUCUCAUCAUCUUCCCAUCUUAAGAGAAGAGGACAUAUCCUUUUCUCCACGUUUUUCACGAAAACGUUCCGACGUUGCGCGCUCAUCAUGAAGUCCUUGGCUCCCGAAAUGGCGGCCACGUACGAUCCGGCCGCGGUGGAGGCGGACUGGUAUCCGUGGUGGGAGAAGUCUGGCUUCUUCAGACCCGCCUCAGACCACAAGUCCGAGACGGCGACCAAGCCGUUCGUGAUUAUCGCCCCACCACCGAACGUCACGGGCUACCUGCACCUGGGCCAUGCCCUCACGGGCGCUGUGCAGGACACCCUCAUCCGCUUCCACCGCAUGAAGGGUGACAACACCCUCUACUUGCCCGGCACCGACCACGCCGGCAUCGCCACCCAGGUCGUCGUGGAGCGCCGCGUCAUGAAGGAGGAGGGCAAGAGCCGGCACGACCUCGGCCGCGACGAGUUCAUGAAGCGCCUGUGGGAAUUCAAGAAGAAUCACGCUGGCAUGAUCACGGAGCAGUUCCGCAGGAUCGGCUUGUCGCUGGACUGGACGCGCGAGCGCUUUACGAUGGACGAACAGUCGUCUGCGGCUGUUGUGGAGGCGUUUGUGCGCCUGCACGAGGACGGCCUGGUGCACCGCGACACACGGCUGGUAAACUGGUGCUGCGCGCUGCAGAGCGCCAUCUCUGACCUCGAGGUGGAGUUUGUCGAAGUGCCCAAGACAUCCAAGAUGACCAUUCCUCUCUAUGACCGCAAAGUCGACAUGGGCAGCCUCACUCACGUUGCCUACAAGCUGGCGGACAGCGACGACGAGCUGGUGAUUGCGACGACGCGUCCUGAGACGCUGCUGGGCGAUACGGCCGUCGCCAUUCACCCUGACGACGAGCGCUACAAGAAGUUCCAUGGCAAGUUCCUCAAGUGCCCGUUCCGCGACGACAUCAUCCCGAUCGUGCUGGACGCGACGCUGGUCGACAUGAACUUCGGCACCGGCGCGGUGAAAAUCACCCCAGCUCACGACCCAAACGACUUUGAGUCCGGCAAGCGCCACAACCUGCAGCAGCUUGUCAUGAUGAACCUGAAGGGCUACGUGACGAUGGAGCCGUUCAAGGGCAUGCACCGCUUCGACUGCCGCCGCGAGAUCGUGAAGAAGCUGGAGGAGAUGGGGCUGCUGCGCGGCGUGGAGCCGUACGAGUACCGCGUAGGCCGCUGCGAGCGCACUGGCGACAUUGUGGAGCCGAUGCUGAUGCCGCAGUGGUUCAUCGACUGCUCCGAUAUGGCCCGCCGCUCCGUCGAGGCGGUGCGCAACGGCGACCUGCGCCUGUACCCGCCUUCGCACGAGGCCGUCUGGUACCACUGGCUGGAGAACAUCAAACCGUGGUGCGUGUCGCGUCAGCUCUGGUGGGGCCACCGCAUUCCUGCCUACAAAGUUGUCGGCUCGCUGCCGAAAGACGUGGACCCAUGGGUGGUCGCCCGCAAUCUGCAGGAGGCGCACGCGAAGGCUAAGAAGAAGUUCGGCCUGACUGACGAGCAGGUCGCCGAGGCCUCGUUUGAGCAGGACCCGGAUGUGCUGGACACCUGGUUCAGCUCCGGACUCUGGCCCUUCGCCACGCUUGGAUGGCCCACCGACUCGGACGACAUGAAGCGCUUCUUCCCGAACUCGCUGAUGGAGACCGGCCACGACAUCCUGUUCUUCUGGGUGGCUCGCAUGGUAAUGCUUUCGCUGCACUUCACAAACAAGCUGCCGUACAAGGAGGUGUUUCUGCACGCAAUGGUGCGCGACAAGAAUGGCGAGAAGAUGUCCAAGUCGAAGGGCAACGUCAUCGACCCACUCUACGUCAUCCACGGCGUUUCGCUGCAGACCCUCCACAACACCGUGCGCAGCGGCAACCUGGGCGACAAGGAGGUGGAGAAGGCCAUCAAGCAGCAGAAGGAGUUUUUCCCAGAAGGCAUUCCAGAGUGCGGUAGCGAUGCCCUGCGCUUCGGCCUCCUCUCCUACACCCAGUCUGGCCGCAGCGUGAACCUCGACAUCCAACGCGUCGUGGCCUACCGCCAGUUCUGCAACAAGCUGUGGAACGUGGUGCGCUACGUGCUGUAUCACGCCCUGGGCACUGACUACGUGCCCAGCAAGCAGCAGUUCAGCCCCGCCGAGGACGCCGCCAUGCUGCCGCUCGAGUGCCGCUGGAUUCUCUCGCGCCUCGACGCCGCCAUCGCGGAGGCCACGCAGGGCAUGUCGGAGGGCCUCUACGACUUCGCGUUGGCCACCGGUGCCGUCUACCGCUUCUGGCUGCACGAGCUGUGCGACGUGUUCCUUGAGUUGACGAAGCCGACCAUUCAGAAGGGCGGAGAGAAGCAGCAGCUGGUGCAAGACGUGCUGCUGCACGUCGUCGAGAAGGCGCUUCGGCUGCUACACCCGAUGAUGCCGUUUCUCACGGAGGAGCUUUGGCACCGCCUGCCCAACUACAGCAGCUUCGGCAGCGAGUCGAUCAUGCUCGCCAAGUACCCGACACCGAGCGGAUGGUUGAGCGCGGCGUCGGAUAGCGCCAUGUCGAUCAUUCUCGACGUCGUGCACAGCGUACGUUCCACCAAGGCCUCGUACUCGCUAACGAACAAGCACAAGCCAGACGUGUGGGUGACGGCGCAUACGGCGGAGCUGCAGGAGCUGUUCGCGGCGGAAAAGAUGAUGAUCUCAACCCUCGGUGUCGUGGGCGAGGUGACUGUCGUGUCCCCGGCCGAGGAGACAGCGGCGGUGCCGAAGGGCUGCGGCUUCUCCGUGGUGACAAAGGAGGUGGGCGUGAACAUGAUGCUCAUGGGUUUCAUCGACGUCGGGAAGGAGGUGGCGAAGCUGGAGAAGCAGCUGGACGGCCUCAUGAAGCAGAUUGAGGGAAUGAAGAAGAAGAUGUCUAUCCCUAAUUACGAAACUAAGGUGCCGGCCGAGAUCCGCGUGACCAACACGGAGAAGCUCAAGACGCUAGAGGCGCAGAGCGCGCAGCUGCGCGAUGGCAUCGAGAAGAUGAGCAGCCUCAAGUGAACACAACAGCUCUCUCUCCUCUGGGUUCUCUUUUCGGCAGUAUAAACGCCACCACUGCAACCGUCAUCAGUACCGAAAAAGGUGAAGCCGCUGAGCUCGUUGGCUAUCGAUCUGUGCAUGCAUCUGUGUGCCCACAAACACGGAGGUGCCGAUGUGCGCCCUAGGAGCAGUACGGUCUAAGAGGCCGUUUUCGUUUUUUCUUUUGUGUGUGUGUGCCUUGAUGAUGAUGGGGGUGGGGUGGGCUUUCUAAUGCGGAUUGCGUAACUGCGCCCGCUGACAUGAAAUGCGUAAGUCUUUCUUUCUGUGUGCUUGCCUAUUAGGAAGGCCGGACUCAGCCACAAAGAUAAGCAGAGGCAGAGAGUUGCAGGGGUGGCGAAUCGCCCCUCCCCCUGCCCUCCGUGUGCUCUCCUCACUUGUUGCCGUUCUUUGUUGUUGGCGUGUGUGUGCCGCUUUUUGUUUUCGACGUUAUGUUCCUUCCGAACGUCUUUUUUCCCUUUCUCCUUCUGCGUGUAUCCGCUCUCCCUUCCUCUGCUUCAGUGCUGUGGAUACCUUCGCGACCAAUGCCGUCUUCCAUUCGUUGUUGUAUCUGUUCUCAUGUGUGCGUGUGUGUGUGUGUGUGAAUGAGUAUACUCCCGUUUGAGAGAACCACCCCGCAUUUGCGGGGUGCCUCCACGGUAUAGCGGCUUGAUCCACUCCGCUGUGUUGGUUCGCUCCCCAUACAAUGAGGCCCUUCCUCUAUGAGGAUGUGAGCAAUGACAGAGGGCAACAUUCGUGAGUAGUGAGACUGAAACAAAGGUUGUACACACGAGGCGAACGCUAAGAAGGCGUAUGCACUGUUGCGGCGGAGAACCCUGCCCUCUCCCCUCUCCGACUCGCGUAUGUGAUGGUGUACAUGUGUCUGGAUAGGAAUGGAAGGGGGAUCAUGAUGGAAUGCCAGGGGCCCGGGUUAUGGAGCCGGUGAGCAGCAGCAACCCUCUCUUGUUGUCUUGUAGCCUAAUAAGAAAGACACACAAACAAAAAAGCCAAUGCUGUGCUUCUCCGAUAUGCCUGGAAGAAUGCUAUGCUGGCACUAGCACGCGUUCGAUCGCAUGCCCAGGUGAGGAAAAGACAAGGUGCUUUAAUGUAACGCCGCUUCGUACCCUGUAUUUUCUUCGCUGACACAUUCGCAUGUAGUGAGCCGUACUUGAAAAGUAACCGGGUGGGCGUCGAGGAGAACGGACUCAUGCACACCGUGUUGCAGCUGG